GCCUGGGUGGCUCAGUUGGUUGAGUGUCUGACUUCGGCCCAGGUCAUGGUCUCACAGUUUGUGGGUUCGAGCCCCGCAUCAGGCU
This 85-nucleotide transfer RNA is filed under the name Felis catus (domestic cat). It matches the Rfam family "tRNA". Rfam says of the family: Transfer RNA (tRNA) molecules are approximately 80 nucleotides in length. Their secondary structure includes four short double-helical elements and three loops (D, anti-codon, and T loops). Lineage: Eukaryota; Metazoa; Chordata; Mammalia; Carnivora; Felidae. The record is from Rfam by way of RNAcentral.